AGCUUUGUGCAGUGGCAGUAUCGUAGCCAAUGGGGUUUAUCCAAGGCGUGAUUAUUGCUAAUUGAAAAUGGGUUGGGUUCCUGAGCUGGUUGUUACAGAUCAUGGGUCAGAGUUUUAUUUUUAUAUAUUGUCUAGAAAU
This is a small nuclear RNA of Pteropus alecto (black flying fox), 139 nucleotides long. RefSeq annotates it as U4 spliceosomal RNA. The record is from RefSeq and is a predicted model, not a curated record. Lineage: Eukaryota; Metazoa; Chordata; Mammalia; Chiroptera; Pteropodidae. The transcript has a single exon.